Molecule: ribosomal RNA, 460 nt
Filed under: uncultured bacterium
Lineage: Bacteria
Description: partial 16S ribosomal RNA
Rfam family: Bacterial small subunit ribosomal RNA
Source: RNAcentral
CCUACGGGAGGCAGCAGUGAGGAAUAUUGGUCAAUGGCCGGAAGGCUGAACCAGCCAUGCCGCGUGAAGGUCAGUGCCCUAUGGGCGUUAAACUUCUUUUGUGCGGGAGCAAUAAUGGUCACGUGUGGCCAGACGAGAGUACCGUACGAAUAAGCAUCGGCUAACUCCGUGCCAGCAGCCGCGGUAAUACGGGGGAUGCAAGCGUUAUCCGGAUUUAUUGGGUUUAAAGGGUGCGUAGGCUGUGAGGUAAGUCAUCGGGGAAAUGCCCCCGCUCAACGGGGUGAAGUGCCAUUGAUACUGCCUUGCUGGAAUGCGGAUGCCGUGGGGGGAAUGUGUGGUGUAGCGGUGAAAUGCAUAGAUAUCACACAGAACACCGAUUGCGAAGGCAUCUCACGAAUCCGCGAUUGACGCUGAUGCACGAAAGCGUGGGUAUCAAACAGGAUUAGAUACCCGAGUAGUC